RNAcentral lists this ribosomal RNA (356 nucleotides) under uncultured bacterium. RNAcentral's name for it is "partial 16S ribosomal RNA". It matches the Rfam family "Bacterial small subunit ribosomal RNA", at positions 338 to 692 of the family's 1533-position model. The record is from RNAcentral.
CCUACGGGAGGCAGCAGUGAGGAAUAUUGGUCAAUGGCCGCAGGGCUGAACCAGCCAAGUCGCGUGAGGGAUGACGGUCCUAUGGGUUGUAAACCUCUUUUGUCAGGGAGCAAAGGGCGCCACGUGUGGCGAUUUGCGAGUACCUGAAGAAAAAGCAUCGGCUAACUCCGUGCCAGCAGCCGCGGUAAUACGGAGGAUGCGAGCGUUAUCCGGAUUUAUUGGGUUUAAAGGGUGCGCAGGCGGAAUGUCAAGUCAGCGGUAAAAUUUCGGGGCUCAACCCCGUCGUGCCGUUGAAACUGGGGUUAUUGAGUGAGCGCGAAGUAGGCGGAAUGCGUGGAGUAGCGGUGCAAUGCAUA